This 189-nucleotide ribosomal RNA is filed under the name uncultured bacterium. RNAcentral describes it as "partial 16S ribosomal RNA". It matches the Rfam family "Bacterial small subunit ribosomal RNA", at positions 1311 to 1500 of the family's 1533-position model. The record is from RNAcentral.
UUCGCCUUCAUGAAGCUGGAAUUGCUAGUAAUGGCAGGUCAGCAUACUGCCGUGAAUAGUUCCCGGGCCUUGUACACACCGCCCGUCACACCAUGAGAGUUGGAAAUACCCGAAGCCUGUGAGCUAACAGUAAUGAGGCAGCAGUCGAAGGUAGAGCCAAUGAUUGGGGUGAAGUCGUAACAAGGUAAC